RNAcentral lists this ribosomal RNA (500 nucleotides) under uncultured bacterium. RNAcentral describes it as "partial 16S ribosomal RNA". It matches the Rfam family "Bacterial small subunit ribosomal RNA", at positions 30 to 523 of the family's 1533-position model. The record is from RNAcentral.
AUUGAACGCUGGCGGAAUGCUUUACACAUGCAAGUCGAACGGCAGCACGGACUUCGGUCUGGUGGCGAGUGGCGAACGGGUGAGUAAUGUAUCGGAACGUGCCCAGUCGUGGGGGAUAACGUAGUGAAAAUUACGCUAAUACCGCAUACGAUCUAUGGAUGAAAGCGGGGGAUCGCAAGACCUCGCGCGAUUGGAGCGGCCGAUAUCAGAUUAGGUAGUUGGUGGGGUAAAGGCCCACCAAGACAACGAUCUGUAGCUGGUCUGAGAGGACGAGCAGGCACACUGGAACUGAGACACGGGCCAGAAUCCGACGGGAGGCAGCAGGGGGGAAUUUUGGACAAUGGGCGAAAGCCUGAUCCAGCCAUUCCGCGUGCAGGAUGAAGGCCCUCGGGUUGUAAACUGCUUUUGUACAGAACGAAAAGGUUUCUACUAAUACUAGGAGCUCAUGACGGUACUGUAAGAAUAAGCACCGGCUAACUACGUGCCAGCCGCCGCCGCGG